Molecule: long non-coding RNA, 374 nt
Organism: Oncorhynchus tshawytscha (Chinook salmon)
Lineage: Eukaryota; Metazoa; Chordata; Actinopteri; Salmoniformes; Salmonidae
Source: Ensembl
GAGAGGUGAGAGGGAACAGUAGGUGAGAGGUGAGGGGUAACAGUAGGUGAGAGGUGAGAGGGAACAGUAGGUGAGAGGUGAGAGGGAACAGUAGGUGAGAGGUGAGGGGUAACAGUAGGUGAGAGGUGAGAGGUAACAGUAGGUGAGAGGUGAGAGGUAACAGUAGGUGAGAGGUGAGGGGUAACAGUAGGUGAGGGGUACAGUAGGUGAGAGGUGAGAGGUAACAGUAGGUGAGAGGUGAGAGGUAACAGUAGGUGAGAGGUGAGAGGUAACAGUAGGUGAGAGGUGAGGGGUAACAGUAGGUGAGGGGUACAGUAGGUGAGAGGUGAGGGGUAACAGUAGGUGAGAGGUGAGAGGUAACAGUAGGUGAGAGG